This 493-nucleotide ribosomal RNA is filed under the name uncultured bacterium. Its description in RNAcentral is "partial 16S ribosomal RNA". It matches the Rfam family "Bacterial small subunit ribosomal RNA", at positions 28 to 507 of the family's 1533-position model. The record is from RNAcentral.
GACGAACGCUGGCGGCGUGCUUAACACAUGCAAGUCGAACGGUGAAGCGCCUUCCUUUUUGGUGGUGUGGAUGAGUGGCGAACGGGUGAGUAACACGUGAGUAACCUGCCCCCUUCUUCUGGAUAACCGCAUGAAAGUGUGGCUAAUACGGGAUAUUCUGGGUCUGUCGCAUGAUGGGUCUGGGAAAGAUAUUGUUUCGGUGGGGGAUGGGCUCGCGGCCUAUCAGCUUGUUGGUGGGGUGAUGGCCUACCAAGGCGGUGACGGGUAGCCGGCCUGAGAGGGUGGACGGUCACACUGGGACUGAGACACGGACCAGACUCCUACGGGAGGCAGCAGUGGGGAAUAUUGCACAAUGGGCGCAAGCCUGAUGCAGCGACGCCGCGUGAGGGAUGGAGGCCUGCGGGUUGUGAACCUCUUUCGCCAGUGAAGCAGGCCUGCCUCGUUUGUGGGUGGGUUGACGGUAGCUGGAUAAGAAGCGCCGGCUAACUACGUG